This is a long non-coding RNA of Pollicipes pollicipes, 684 nucleotides long. RefSeq lists it as uncharacterized. NCBI's taxonomy places the organism in Eukaryota, Metazoa, Arthropoda, Thecostraca, Pollicipedomorpha, Pollicipedidae. The transcript has 2 exons. The record is from RefSeq and is a predicted model, not a curated record.
CCGACUACGGCCGGUCGGACCCCGGGGCGCGGCAGUGCACGCCUCUCCGGAGAGGACAGCCACCUGCGCGCCGGCCCAGAGAGCGCCGUGACGCCACCUGUCGCGCCGACACCAGCCGCUGGCCCCGCGUCGUCUGCGGAGGCCUGAGAAGAGACGGAGGUGCAGUGCUCCGGUCAGCGCCAGCGCCAGCAGCGGCAGCGGCCUGACGUCGUGGCCGUCCCAGCAGCGCUCGCCCUGGUGCUGCUCUUGUCACUGACGACGUGCGGCGAUACCAGCCGGGCCCAGUUCCGCCUGACGCUGGCCCCGCCGCUGUGCCCCUGAGCAAGCAUCCAGUUCCGCUUGGGUGGCGUGUGUCUGCCGCGCAGUCCGAACUGGUUCGGCUGUCUGGCGGACCGGAUGUGUCUGUCGGGCCGGUGUCGAGGCGGUGUGUGCUGGGCAGCGCCAACCACCACUACUACCACUACCACUACCACCGCCACGCAGCGGCCAGGCACCAGCGGAGGUGUGGGUUGUCCCACCCCGUCGUGUGGUGGAGUUGGCAUGCGCUGCAUGGUACUUCCGAACGGAUGUAGAGUGCCUGCGUACGAGUCUAUAUUAUAAAGUUUGAAGAGCGAGACAUACAGAGACCUUAUAGAACGGAGGAGAAUACACCAUUUUAAAGCGGUCUCCAUUGAGCGCAACUCA